CCUAGCAAUCCUAACCCUAACCCUCCUCGGAACACUUCUGAUUCCUCUGCUCCAUACAUACUUGUUCAGCUUCACAUCCACUCUCACAUCUGUUGUCCCCAUUGCAUUCUGUGCAAACUUCUUGAUCUCCUUAAUUGCCUUUGGUGCCUUCUUCUUGAAUGUGCUGUACCAUCCAUGAAGGCGUUUGUGGAGGUUGAUGGUGUACUCUCUAGUCACAACCUCUUCCUUUCUACCUUUAGUUUUCUCCACCAUUU
RNAcentral lists this long non-coding RNA (254 nucleotides) under Helianthus annuus (common sunflower). RNAcentral describes it as "sRNA HanXRQr2_Chr06g0249091". The record is from RNAcentral. Lineage: Eukaryota; Viridiplantae; Streptophyta; Magnoliopsida; Asterales; Asteraceae.